This 775-nucleotide ribosomal RNA is filed under the name uncultured Neocallimastigales. RNAcentral describes it as "partial large subunit ribosomal RNA". It matches the Rfam family "Eukaryotic large subunit ribosomal RNA", at positions 22 to 640 of the family's 3401-position model. The record is from RNAcentral. Lineage: Eukaryota; Fungi; Neocallimastigomycota; Neocallimastigomycetes; Neocallimastigales.
GUACACGCUGUGACUAGCAUAUCAAUAAGCGGAGGAAAAGAAACUAACAAGGAUUCCCCUAGUAACGGCGAGUGAAGCGGGAAGAGCUCAAAUUUGAAAUCUUAAAGGGUUUCCCUUUACGAAUUGUAGUUUAAAGAAGUGUUUUCUGUUGAGGUUUUGGUAAAAGUUCUUUGGAAUAGGACAUCAUAGAGGGUGAGAAUCCCGUAUUUGACCUUUACUUUCAACUUUGUGAUACACUUUCAAAGAGUCGGAUUGUUUGGGAAUGCAGUCCAAAAUGGGUGGUAAAUUUCAUCUAAAGCUAAAUAUUGGCGAGAGACCGAUAGCGAACAAGUACCGUGAGGGAAAGAUGAAAAGAACUUUGAAAAGAGAGUUAAACAUGUACGUGAAAUUGUCAAAAGGGAAGCGUUUGACACCAGUGUUGUUUUUCUGAAAAUCAAUUAAAGAACUGUUUAUGCUAAGCUGUUUAGACUUUAUCAGCUAUCUGUUUAGUUUUGAGCUUUUCUUUAAUGCACUUUUCAGUUAACAAGUCAACAUCAAUUUCUUUUGCUGUAAAAAAGCUUGAGGAAGGUGGCUUGAGAUUCGUCUUAAGUGUUUAUAGCCUCUUGCCUAUGCAGUCGGAGAGAUUGAGGUCUGCAGCGUAGAUCCUUCGGGGCUAAAUGCAUUUGUGCUAAGUUAUAGCAUUUUAUAGACAACUUGUUGACUAUGAUUUGUCUUGUAGCUUACUCGCUUAUGUUAUUUUACCUACGCUUAGGAUGUUGAUAUGCAUGACUGAUAU